UAGGGAAUCUUCCGCAAUGGGCGAAAGCCUGACGGAGCAACGCCGCGUGAGUGAUGAAGGUCUUCGGAUCGUAAAACUCUGUUAUUAGGGAAGAACAAAUGUGUAAGUAACUAUGCACGUCUUGACGGUACCUAAUCAGAAAGCCACGGCUAACUACGUGCCAGCAGCCGCGAUAAUACGUAGGUGGCAAGCGUUAUCCGGAAUUAUUGGGCGUAAAGCGCGCGUAGGCGGUUUUUUAAGUCUGAUGUGAAAGCCCACGGCUCAACCGUGGAGGGUCAUUGGAAACUGGAAAACUUGAGUGCAGAAGAGGAAAGUGGAAUUCCAUGUGUAGCGGUGAAAUGCGCAGAGAUAUGGAGGAACACCAGUGGCGAAGGCGACUUUCUGGUCUGUAACUGACGCUGAUGUGCGAAAGCGUGGGGAUCAAACAGG
Molecule: ribosomal RNA, 429 nt
Filed under: Actinomycetes bacterium
Lineage: Bacteria; Bacillati; Actinomycetota; Actinomycetes
Description: Actinobacteria bacterium partial 16S ribosomal RNA
Rfam family: Bacterial small subunit ribosomal RNA
Source: RNAcentral